GACGAACGCUGGCGGCGUGCCUAAUACAUGCAAGUAGAACGCUGAAGAGAGGAGCUUACUCUUCUUGGAUGAGUUGCGAACGGGUGAGUAACGCGUAGGUAACCUGCCUUGUAGCGGGGGAUAACUAUUGGAAACGAUAGCUAAUACCGCAUAACAAUGGAUGACACAUGUCAUUUAUUUGAAAGGGGCAAUUGCUCCACUACAAGAUGGACCUGCGUUGUAUUAGCUAGUAGGUGAGGUAAUGGCUCACCUAGGCGACGAUACAGAGCCGACCUGAGAGGGUGAUCGGCCACACUGGGAAUGAGACACGGCCCAGACUCCUACGGGGGGCAGCAGUAGGGAAUCUUCGGCAAUGGGGGCAACCCUGAACGAGCAACGCCGCGUGAGUGGAGAAGGUUUUCGGGUCGUAAAGCUCUGUUGUAAGUCAAGAACGGGUGUGGGAGUGGAAAGUUCACACUGUGACGGUAGCUUACCAGAAAGGGACGGCUAACUACGUG
Molecule: ribosomal RNA, 497 nt
Filed under: uncultured bacterium
Lineage: Bacteria
Description: partial 16S ribosomal RNA
Rfam family: Bacterial small subunit ribosomal RNA
Source: RNAcentral